Arachis ipaensis is the source of this 150-nucleotide non-coding RNA. The record is from RefSeq and is a predicted model, not a curated record. Lineage: Eukaryota; Viridiplantae; Streptophyta; Magnoliopsida; Fabales; Fabaceae.
UUAAAUAGAGAUGUUGUUAUGCUUACUGUGAAAACUGAUUGCUAAUGAUGUUGUUCCAAAGGAAUAUCUUGCUUCUGAGAUCAUUUCUCACUAUGUAAUGCAUGGGGCAAGUGUUGCUGAGAUUGUAAAGAAUCUGAUAACAGUUCUGAA